UGCUGAUUAAGUCAACUCAGAUAUUUUCAGUUAAUGUGACUUUGUUUUCACAAUUUCUCCUUUAAUUAUUUUAUUUGCGUAAAAGCACUGUAGCUCCAUUACUUUAGGCAGCUAUGAGUAAUGUAUACCUUCUUAAAUUAAAUGUGGCAAUUACUUAUAUCUAAAUGCAAUCAUAAAUCAUUAGUGCUGCCUUACAUAAAACUUCUGACUGAUUACCCGCUUCUGAUCAGCAUCAGUAAGACUUCUUGAAGUUAAAUUCUAAAAUCUUCCCUUUUUUUUAUUUGUUACAAAAGUAUCACUCUGCACACUGUGUGCUACUAGAUCUACAGUCAAUAUCCCAGUUAUGUACCUCACUCUGUUACAGCUUUGAUAUUCUAACACGAAGGCAAAUAAAGCAGAACCUCAGCUACUGAACCGUGAUCAUAAUGGAACAACUCAGUAUGACCGAGCAGGCAGAAUAUUUAAUGUCCAUAACUUGCAAACUACAAACUUCCACUCUGGACACUGCAGUAUUAAUGGAUUAGUGCAAGUUAUAAUACGAAGACAAUAUAGAAAAGAAUAAGAACUGAAACUGCCCUACAAACGAAGAAUCUGUUUCAUCAACUCAAAAAAGGGAGAAAAUGUCACAGAAACUCAGCAGAUUAAAGCAGAAUCAUUGAAAAAAAACAUUUACAGUGCACGCAACAAUUACUUCGAGCACAUGUGUUUUCUGUCGAUUUCUCUGUACAUGAAAAAGACAUUACUGGCUUAUUGGUGUUGGAGAGCACUGUCUAACUGUCGGUCCAAAAUCUCCCAUAUUUGUCCAGUUUGGUUGAGGUGAGACAGCUGCAAAGGCCACAGCUUAUGAAGUACUUCUUGGUCAUACUCAUCAACCCAUCCUGUGCCCCCCCGUCCCUCUUCAUUCAGUUCUCCAGAAGAAAAUACCCACAACACAAGAAAAUCGCCCUGAGAACUCAGCCUCGACACUUCAUCUAUGCAGGAUACACAAGCAGUGUCGCGAGUGCCUUUUUUGAAGCCACGGGAUUAACUCAUUCAUGUGCACAAUUCAUAUCGUGAACUGAUGACAACGCCAAUAAAACCAUAUGAAUUAAGUUUCUGUGCAGAUUUCCACUGUUAAUGCUUCAAGUCUGAAACCCAUUUGCUGUAGCAGGAGAUGGAGGAGAUACAGAAAUGCUUCAGAUGUUUUACAGCCAGUUUUACCAGCAGUAAAAUUGCCUCACUUCAUAUACAGUAGUACUGAUCAGUGUCUGCUGGGUAACAUGUGGGCAUCUUGAUACAGUAUGGAAAACAUAUAAAGCGCAGCCAUGAACUCUGUGUGGGGUGUGACCCAUUACAUGAAAUAACAUUUGGAUAACAUGUGAAUUUACCUCUACAUGAGUGAGUCAUGCUGGACGUGGAUUUACUGCGAAGCCUCCAGAACAAGUA
This 1425-nucleotide long non-coding RNA is filed under the name Oreochromis niloticus (Nile tilapia). RNAcentral describes it as "lncRNA (ENSONIG00000029082.1)". The record is from RNAcentral. Lineage: Eukaryota; Metazoa; Chordata; Actinopteri; Cichliformes; Cichlidae.